This 528-nucleotide ribosomal RNA is filed under the name Acinetobacter baumannii. RNAcentral's name for it is "bacterial SSU rRNA". It matches the Rfam family "Bacterial small subunit ribosomal RNA", at positions 355 to 874 of the family's 1533-position model. Lineage: Bacteria; Pseudomonadati; Pseudomonadota; Gammaproteobacteria; Moraxellales; Moraxellaceae. The record is from RNAcentral.
UGGGGAAUAUUGGACAAUGGGGGGAACCCUGAUCCAGCCAUGCCGCGUGUGUGAAGAAGGCCUUAUGGUUGUAAAGCACUUUAAGCGAGGAGGAGGCUACUUUAGUUAAUACCUAGAGAUAGUGGACGUUACUCGCAGAAUAAGCACCGGCUAACUCUGUGCCAGCAGCCGCGGUAAUACAGAGGGUGCGAGCGUUAAUCGGAUUUACUGGGCGUAAAGCGUGCGUAGGCGGCUUAUUAAGUCGGAUGUGAAAUCCCCGAGCUUAACUUGGGAAUUGCAUUCGAUACUGGUGAGCUAGAGUAUGGGAGAGGAUGGUAGAAUUCCAGGUGUAGCGGUGAAAUGCGUAGAGAUCUGGAGGAAUACCGAUGGCGAAGGCAGCCAUCUGGCCUAAUACUGACGCUGAGGUACGAAAGCAUGGGGAGCAAACAGGAUUAGAUACCCUGGUAGUCCAUGCCGUAAACGAUGUCUACUAGCCGUUGGGGCCUUUGAGGCUUUAGUGGCGCAGCUAACGCGAUAAGUAGACCGCCU